This 253-nucleotide ribosomal RNA is filed under the name uncultured bacterium. RNAcentral's name for it is "partial 16S ribosomal RNA". It matches the Rfam family "Bacterial small subunit ribosomal RNA", at positions 524 to 776 of the family's 1533-position model. The record is from RNAcentral.
UACGUAGGGACCAAGCGUUGUCCGGAAUCAUUGGGCGUAAAGCGCGCGUAGGCGGCCCCGUAAGUCCGCUGUGAAAGUCAAAGGCUCAACCUUUGAAAGCCGGUGGAUACUGUGGGGCUAGAGUCCGGAAGAGGCGAGUGGAAUUCCUGGUGUAGCGGUGGAAUGCGCAGAUAUCAGGAGGAACACCAAUAGCGAAGGCAGCUCGCUGGGACGGUACUGACGCUAAGGCGCGAAAGCGUGGGGAGCGAACAGG